Molecule: ribosomal RNA, 936 nt
Filed under: uncultured methanogenic archaeon
Lineage: Archaea; Methanobacteriati; Methanobacteriota
Description: bacterial SSU rRNA
Rfam family: Archaeal small subunit ribosomal RNA
Source: RNAcentral
CUAGGUUGGGUAUAAACCCGGGAAACUGGGUAUAAUACCCGAUAGGUCUCGAUUGCUGGAAUGCAUCGAGAUUUAAAGCUCCGGCGCCUAAGGAUGGGUCUGCGGCCUAUCAGGUAGUAGUGGGUGUAGCGUACUACUAGCUACGACGGGUACGGGUUGUGAGAGCAAGAGCCCGGAGAUGGAUUCUGAGACACGAAUCCAGGCCCUACGGGGUGCAGCAGGCGCGAAAACUUUACAAUGCUGGCAACAGCGAUAAGGGAACCUCGAGUGCCAGGUUACAAAUCUGGCUGUCGAGAUGCCUAAGAAGCAUUUCAUAGCAAGGGCCGGGCAAGACCGGUGCCAGCCGCCGCGGUAACACCGGCGGCUCGAGUGGUAACCGUUAUUAUUGGGUCUAAAGGGUCUGUAGCCGGCCGGAUAAGUCUCUUGAGAAAUCUGGCAGCUUAACUGUCAGGCUUUCAGGAGAUACUGUCUGGCUCGAGGCCGGGAGAGGUGAGAGGUACUUCAGGGGUAGGGGUGAAAUCUUGUAAUCCUUGAAGGACCACCAGUGGCGAAGGCGUCUCACCAGAACGGACCUGACGGCAAGGGACGAAAGCUAGGGGCACGAACCGGAUUAGAUACCCGGGUAGUCCUAGCCGUAAACGAUACUCGCUAGGUGUCGGCCACGGUGCGACCGUUGUCGGUGCCGUAGGGAAGCCGUGAAGCGAGCCACCUGGGAAGUACGGCCGCAAGGCUGAAACUUAAAGGAAUUGGCGGGGGAGCACCACAACGGGUGGAGCUUGCGGUUUAAUUGGAUUCAACGCCGGAAAUCUUACCGGGACCGACAGCAAUAUGAAGGCCAGGCUGAAGACUUUGCCGGAUUAGCUGAGAGGUGGUGCAUGGCCGUCGUCAGUUCGUACUGUGAAGCAUCCUGUUAAGUCAGGCAACGAGCGAGACCCA